UGAAAGAGUUAUUAGCCACCAAGUAU
This 26-nucleotide non-coding RNA is filed under the name Mus musculus (house mouse). Lineage: Eukaryota; Metazoa; Chordata; Mammalia; Rodentia; Muridae. The record is from RNAcentral.